AUACGGAGGAUGCAAGCGUUAUCCGGAUUUAUUGGGUUUAAAGGGUGCGUAGGCGGUUUGCUAAGCGGGAGGUGAAAUGCCGGCGCUCAACGUCGGAAGUGCCUCCCGAACUGGUGGACUGGAAUGACUCUGCCGUGGGAGGAAUGUGUAGUGUAGCGGUGAAAUGCUUAGAGAUUACACAGAACACCGAUUGCGAAGGCAUCUCACGAAGGGUUGAUUGACGCUGAGGCACGAAAGCGUGGGGAUCAAACAGGAUUAGAUACCCUGGUAGUCCACGCAGUAAACGAUGAUGGCUAACCGCUGGGCUUAUCAGUUCAGUGGCCAAGCGAAAGCGAUAAGCCAUCCACCUGGGGAGUACGACCGCAAGGUGGGAACUCAAAUGAAUUGACGGGG
This 393-nucleotide ribosomal RNA is filed under the name uncultured bacterium. RNAcentral's name for it is "partial 16S ribosomal RNA". It matches the Rfam family "Bacterial small subunit ribosomal RNA", at positions 523 to 918 of the family's 1533-position model. The record is from RNAcentral.